GAUGAACGCUGGCGGCGUGCCUAAUACAUGCAAGUCGAGCGAACAGACGAGGAGCUUGCUCCUCUGACGUUAGCGGCGGACGGGUGAGUAACACGUGGAUAACCUACCUAUAAGACUGGGAUAACUUCGGGAAACCGGAGCUAAUACCGGAUAAUAUAUUGAACCGCAUGGUUCAAUAGUGAAAGACGGUUUUGCUGUCACUUAUAGAUGGAUCCGCGCCGCAUUAGCUAGUUGGUAAGGUAACGGCUUACCAAGGCAACGAUGCGUAGCCGACCUGAGAGGGUGAUCGGCCACACUGGAACUGAGACACGGUCCAGACUCCUACGGGAGGCAGCAGUAGGGAAUCUUCCGCAAUGGGCGAAAGCUUGACCGAGCAACGCCGCGUGAGUGAUGAAGGUCUUCGGAUCGUAAAACUCUGUUAUUAGGGAAGAACAAAUGUGUAAGUAACUAUGCACGUCUUGACGGUACCUAAGCAGAAAGCCACGGCUAACUACGU
Molecule: ribosomal RNA, 496 nt
Filed under: uncultured bacterium
Lineage: Bacteria
Description: partial 16S ribosomal RNA
Rfam family: Bacterial small subunit ribosomal RNA
Source: RNAcentral